This 828-nucleotide ribosomal RNA is filed under the name Coconut lethal yellowing phytoplasma. RNAcentral describes it as "bacterial SSU rRNA". It matches the Rfam family "Bacterial small subunit ribosomal RNA", at positions 89 to 913 of the family's 1533-position model. Lineage: Bacteria; Bacillati; Mycoplasmatota; Mollicutes; Acholeplasmatales; Acholeplasmataceae. The record is from RNAcentral.
GUUUUAGUGGCGAACGGGUGAGUAACACGUAAGCAACCUACCUUUAAGACGAGAAUAACAAUUGGAAACAGUUGCUAAGGCUGGAUAGGAAAUGAAAAGGCAUCUUUUUAUUUUUAAAAGACCUUCUUCGGAGGGUAUGCUUAAAGAGGGGCUUGCGUCACAUUAGUUAGUUGGUAAGGUAAAGGCUUACCAAGACGAUGAUGUGUAGCUGGACUGAGAGGUUGAACAGCCACAUUGGGACUGAGACACGGCCCAAACUCCUACGGGAGGCAGCAGUAGGGAAUUUUCGGCAAUGGAGGAAACUCUGACCGAGCAACGCCGCGUGAAUGAUGAAGUACUUCGGUAUGUAAAAUUCUUUUAUUGAAGAAGAAAAAAUAGUGGAAAAACUAUAUUGACGUUAUUCAAUGAAUAAGCCCCGGCUAACUAUGUGCCAGCAGCCGCGGUAAUACAUAGGGGGCGAGCGUUAUCCGGAAUUAUUGGGCGUAAAGGGUGCGUAGGCGGUUUGAUAAGUCUCUAGUUUAAUUUCAGCGCUUAACGCUGUCCUGCUAGAGAAACUGUCUUACUAGAGUGAGAUAGAGGCAAGCGGAAUUCCAUGUGUAGCGGUAAAAUGUGUAAAUAUGUGGAGGAACACCAGAGGCGUAGGCGGCUUGCUGGGUCUUUACUGACGCUGAGGCACGAAAGCGUGGGGAGCAAACAGGAUUAGAUACCCUGGUAGUCCACGCCGUAAACGAUGAGUACUAAGUGUCGGGGCAACUCGGUACUGAAGUUAACACAUUAAGUACUCCGCCUGAGUAGUACGUACGCAAGUAUGAAACUUAAAGGAAUUGA